GGGGUACUCAUCGCCUCCUCCGGCCGCUGGGCACGAGGGCGACGACGCUUGCCGCUGCAUCGGCGAGUGGAAACUGGUGGGUGCUGCAGCGCGCAAGCGAGGAGAAGCCGCCUCCGCGGCUGCCGUCGCGCAGUACGACAACCCUUUGCCGUCGUCGAGCAGCCACCGUAGGUACUCCGGGGGAAUGACGGUGCUAUCUAAUGGGUCCUCGCCGCCUCCUACUGCUCCUCCUCCGGCCACUGUGGGCGACGACGGCCGCUGCUGCAUGAUUGAGUGGGAGUGGUGGAACUGGGAGCAGCAGAGCAGCGUUUAGCGCGGAAGCGAGACGAGGUAGAACGCCAAACGCGUGCUGCACGCUUUCC
RNAcentral lists this unclassified non-coding RNA (362 nucleotides) under Zea mays. RNAcentral's name for it is "misc RNA Zm00001eb200330". The record is from RNAcentral. Lineage: Eukaryota; Viridiplantae; Streptophyta; Magnoliopsida; Poales; Poaceae.